Molecule: RNA transcript, 2353 nt
Organism: Hippocampus comes (tiger tail seahorse)
Lineage: Eukaryota; Metazoa; Chordata; Actinopteri; Syngnathiformes; Syngnathidae
Gene name: proteinase-activated receptor 2
Exons: 3
Source: RefSeq, a predicted model, not a curated record
CGCUGAGCCUCGAUGGUACCGGGGUGGACGAGUGGGCGGCUGUUUAUGUUAAAAUACCUACUUUCUGGGCGCGGACACAGCAAGGAGCCGAAAGUCGAACGUUCAGAGAUCCGAGCGAGUGGACGGAACCUAAUUGAAUAGAAAGAAAAAAAAAUGGACCCAGCUCACUUUUUGGCACUCUCUUUGAUCGUCUUGUGUCAGUUUUGGUUCGCGGAUGGCGCAGUGGGUGGCCGCGGCUUCUUUGGCAGAAGAGACCCCGAGUCCUCGGAGCUGGUGGUGGUGGACCGCGCCACCAUGGAGACCCUACAGAGCGGCCUGACCACCAUCUUCCUGCCAAUCGUUUACAUUGUGGUGUUUGUUGUGGGCUUGCCUGCCAACGCCAUGGCUGUCUGGGUGUUCCUUUUCCGCACGAAGAAGAAGCACCCGUCGUCCAUCUACAUGGCCAACCUGGCUCUGGCCGACCUGCUCUUUGUCAUCUGGGUGCCGCUCAAGAUCGCCUACCACCUGGCCGGCAACGACUGGACGUACGGCGAGGGGCUGUGCAAGGUCCUGGUGGGCUUCUUCUAUGGGAACAUGUACUGCUCUAUUUUAUUCAUCGCUUGCCUCAGCGUGCAGCGCUACUGGGUGGUGGCGCACCCGCUUUCAAAACAACGCAAGAACAACAAGGUGGCGGUGGGCGUGUGCGUGGCCAUCUGGGUUUUUAUCUGGCUCACCACCACGCCGCUCUACUUGUACCAGCACACGGCUAAGCUGCGGGAGCCCGCCAUCACCACCUGCCAUGACGUCAGCGUCAUCCUGGACAUUAAGAAGCCCUUUGAGUCCGUCCGCCUGCCUUACUUCUACUUCAUCCUGAUGGGCACUGUGGUGUUCCUGGUGCCCUGCGUCAUCAUCACGGUGGCCUACAUUCUGCUUCUGCGGACACUAGGCCGCGGAAUGGACAACAGCGCGGCGGCUAAGAACCGGCGGAGGGCGGUGCUGCUGAUCCUGCUCGUGCUGCUCACCUUCCUGGUAUGCUUCAUCCCCAGCAAUGUCAUGCUUGUGUUGCAUUACUCGCUGCUCAAGAAAGGGGUGGUGGACAACGGCUACGCUUUCUAUAUCACCACGCUGUGCCUGGCCAGCCUCAACAGCGUACUGGACCCCUUUAUCUACUACUUCGUGUCCGACGAUUUCCGCCAGCACGUCAAGAACACGCUGCUGUGCCGCAGCAGCCGGGCGGUGGAACGCAUGCGAGUGUCCUUCAGCUCCAUGAAGUACUCCAGGAAGAGCAAGUCGUACGUGUCGGACACGGGGACCACCCAGAGCAGCUCGUGCUAGCAGGCAAGUGGACGGACGGUCGGACGGACAGACGGGUACCUUUGCCAAGGAUGGACUUUUAAUGAAAUGCAAGCUGCUUUUGGUACUAGUCCGUCCGGUCAGACUGGCAGUUUCCACGAAAGACUUUCAAAGUAUUUUUAACCUCAUUUAGUGUUACGUCAUUUUGUAAAUAAAUACCGAAAAACAAAAAGCUGACCGUUCUUUUCAAUGACUGCAAGCCGCAUGGUGACAUUGCCAGACCGGUAUUCCUGAAAUGCAGCUUUACCCAUGGCCGGCCCAGUCUUGUCCUUCCUUCCCAGAUAAGAAACUGUUCAAUCGAGAAACGUAUUCUUUGCUGACCUAAAGCUUCAACGGCCACAGACUUGCUUUGCUGCACGAGUGGUAAGCUACAGUAUUAACGUCAACCCCGGACGAUCAGUUUCAAUCCCCUCAUUUUCGUCACAUCCAAUUUUACCAACAGGGUUCCUUUAGGACCGUGACGAUUUAUCAAAGUAUUCGAUAAUUUAAUGAUAAAAAUCAGUGAAGCAAAAUCUCUGCCUCAAAGUUUUGCAGGCAUCAUUUUUCCACACAGACUCAUGUUACUGCAGUCGAACGUGCAUCUGUUGACAUCAGAUGGUGCAAUGGCGGCGAGCCAGAAGGAAAGAGUCCAUUAAAGACAUGCAAAGUCACAGAUACUACAGUCGAACGCAAAGAUGUCAACCCCAAGUGGACAAAAAUAAUGCCUGCAUCUCACAUCUGCGUUAUUGUGUUGAAUACUACAAAAUAAUUUAAAAAUCUGAUUCAUUGGCGGGUUCACCACCCACACCAUCCCAGUUUUGCAAAUUGUUAUAGAAUGUCAAAAAGCAUCCAUACCCAGCCCCCCACUGAAACACCCUGCCCCCACCUUCAGGGUCCGUGAUGAAACCCUACCUGGGUCAGGCCAACUGUUUGUCAGAGAAAAGAAGAAAGUGAGGAGAUGAUUAACUUUAAACCAACAACACAAACCAAAGCCAUGCAAGAUGCACUCUUGACAGUCCACCUUUGACCUGAAGGAAAAAAA